CCUACGGGAGGCAGCAGUGGGGAAUAUUGGACAAUGGGGGAAACCCUGAUCCAGCGACGCCGCGUGAGUGAAGAAGUAUUUCGGUAUGUAAAGCUCUAUCAGCAGGGAAGAAAAUGACGGUAUCUGACGAAGAAGCACCGGCUAACUACGUGCCAGCAGCCGCGGUAAUACGGAGGGGGCAAGCGUUAUUCGGAUUUACUGGGUGUAAAGAGAGCGUAGACGGCAGCGCAAGUCUGAUGUGAAAUGCCGUGGCUCAACCACGGAACUGCACUGGAAACUGUUAUGCUGGAGUGCAGGAGAGGUAAGUGGAAUUCCUGGUGUAGCGGUGAAAUGCGUAGAUAUCAGGAGGAACACCGGCGGCGAAGGCGGCUUACUGGACUGUAACUGACGUUGAGGCUCGAAGGCGUGGGGAGCAAACAGGAGUAGAUACCCGAGUAGUC
This 440-nucleotide ribosomal RNA is filed under the name uncultured bacterium. Its description in RNAcentral is "partial 16S ribosomal RNA". It matches the Rfam family "Bacterial small subunit ribosomal RNA", at positions 338 to 795 of the family's 1533-position model. The record is from RNAcentral.